UACGAAGGGGGCUAGCGUUGUUCGGAAUUACUGGGCGUAAAGCGCACGUAGGCGGAUAUUUAAGUCGGGGGUGAAAUCCCAGGGCUCAACCCUGGAACUGCCUCCGAUACUGGGUAUCUCGAGUCCGAGAGAGGUGAGUGGAAUUCCGAGUGUAGAGGUGAAAUUCGUAGAUAUUCGGAAGAACACCAGUGGCGAAGGCGGCUCACUGGCUCGGAACUGACGCUGAGGUGCGAAAGCGUGGGGAGCAAACAGG
RNAcentral lists this non-coding RNA (253 nucleotides) under uncultured bacterium. RNAcentral describes it as "partial 16S ribosomal RNA". It matches the Rfam family "Bacterial small subunit ribosomal RNA", at positions 524 to 776 of the family's 1533-position model. RNAcentral also lists the same sequence under 1 other name. The record is from RNAcentral.